Molecule: ribosomal RNA, 253 nt
Filed under: uncultured bacterium
Lineage: Bacteria
Description: partial 16S ribosomal RNA
Rfam family: Bacterial small subunit ribosomal RNA
Source: RNAcentral
UACGAAGGGGGCUAGCGUUGUUCGGAAUCACUGGGCGUAAAGCGCACGUAGGCGGAUUUUUAAGUCAGGGGUGAAAUCCCGGGGCUCAACCUCGGAACUGCCUUUGAUACUGGAGAUCUUGAGUCCGGAAGAGGUAAGUGGAACUGCGAGUGUAGAGGUGAAAUUCGUAGAUAUUCGCAAGAACGCCAGUGGCGAAGGCGGCUUACUGGUCCGGAACUGACGCUGAGGUGCGAAAGCGUGGGGAGCAAACAGG